GGCUGGCCAACUUCGUCCGCCGGACUCGGUAUCCAUUGAGACUUUGUGAGGGGCCUCCGUGUACCAAAAAUAGGCCGCGGGCAAAGCCACGCCCAAAAAUAACCGCCUGAAGUCCGGGGCGCCAAGUUCGUCCUGCGGAAAAAGGCCACAAAAACGGGUGGGCUAUAGCCUUGGGGGGUGGGGCUGGCCAACUUCGUCCGCCGGACUCGGAAUGGUGCGAGACUUUGCGAGGGGCCUCCCUGUGCCAUAAAUAUGCCGUGCGCAAAACCGCGCCCAAAAAUAACCGCCCGAAAGCCGGGGCGCCAACUUCGUCCAGCGGAAAAAAGCCACAAAAACGGGUGGGCUAUAGCCUUGGGGGGUGGGGCUGGCCAACUUCGUCCGCCGAACUCGGAAUGGCGCGAGACAUUGCGAGGCGCCUCCGUGUGCCAAAAAUAGGCCGCGGGUACAGCCGCGCCUAAACAUAACCGCCCGAAGGCCGGGGCGCCAAGUUCGUCCAGCGGACAAAGGCCACAAAAACGGGUGGGCUAUAGCCUUGGGGGGUAGGGCUGGCCGACUUCGUCCGCCGAACUUGGAAUGGCGCGAGACUUUGCGACGCACCUCCGUGUGCCAAAAAUAGGCCACGGGCACAGCCGUGCCUAAACAUAACCGCCCGAAGGCCGGGGCGCCAAGUUCGUCCAGCGGAAAAAGGCCACAAAAACGGGUGGGCUAUAGCCUUGGGGGGUGGGCUAUAGCCUUGGUGGGCGGGGUUGGCCAACUUCGUCCGCCGGACUUGGAAUGGUGCGAGACUUUGCGAGGCACCUCCGUGUGCCUAAAAUAGGCCACGGGCACAGCCGCGCCCAAACAUAACCGCCCGAAGAUCAGGGCGCCAAGUUCGUGCAGCGGAAAAAGGCCACAAAAACGGGUGGGCUAUAGCCUUGGGGGGUGGGGCUGGCCAACUUCGUCCGCCGGACUCGGAAUGGUGCGAGACUUUGCGAGGCACCUCCGUGUGCCAAAAAUAGGCCGCGGGCACAGCCGCACCCAAAAAUAACCGCCCGAAGGCCGGGGCGCCAAGUUCGUCCAGCGCAAAAAGGCCACAAAAACGGGUGGGCUAUAGCCUUGGGGGGUGGGGCUGGCCAACUUCGUCCGCCGGACUCGGAAUGGCGUGAGACUUUGCGAGCAGCCUCCGUGUGCAAAAAAAAAACCGCGGGCACAAAAACUGCCCGAAGGCCGGGGCGCCAAGUUCGUCCAGCGGAAAAAGGCCACAAAAACGGGUGGGCUAUAGCCUUUUGGGGGGUGGGGCUGGCCAACUUCGUCCGCCGGACUCGGAAUGCCGCGAGACUUUGCGAGGGUCUCCGUGUGCCAAAAAUAGCCCGCGAGUAAAGCCGCGCCCAAAAAUAACUGCCCGAAGGCCGGGGCGCCAAGUUCAUCCAGCGGAAAAAGGCCACAAAAACAGUUGGGCUAUAGCCUUGGGGGGUGGGGCUGGCCAACUUCGUCCGCCGGACUCGGAAUGGUGCGAGACUUUGCGAGGGGCCUCCCUGUGCCAAAAAUAUGCCGCGCGCAAAACCGCGCCCAAAAAUAACCGCCCGAAGGCCGGGGCGCCAACUUCGUCCAGCGGAAAGAGGCCACAAAAACGGGUGGGCUAUUGCCUUGGGGGGUGGGGCUGGCCAAAUUCGUCCGCCGGACUCGGAAUCCAUNNNNNNNNNNNNNNNNNNNNNNNNNNNNNNNNNNNNNNNNNNNNNNNNNNNNNNNNNNNNNNNNNNNNNNNNNNNNNNNNNNNNNNNNNNNNNNNNNNNNNNNNNNNNNNNNNNNNNNNNNNNNNNNNNNNNNNNNNNNNNNNNNNNNNNNNNNNNNNNNNNNNNNNNNNNNNNNNNNNNNNNNNNNNNNNNNNNNNNNNNNNNNNNNNNNNNNNNNNNNNNNNNNNNAAACCGCGCCCAAAAAUAACCGCCCGAAAGCCGGGGCGCCAACUUCGUCCAGCGGAAAAAAGCCACAAAAACGGGUGGGCUAUAGCCUUGGGGGGUGGGGCUGGCCAACUUCGUCCGCCGAACUCGGAAUGGCGCGAGACAUUGCGAGGGGCCUCCGUGUGCCAAAAAUAGGCCGCGGGUACAGCCGCGCCUAAACAUAACCGCCCGAAGGCCGGGGCGCCAAGUUCGUCCAGCGGAAAAAGGCCACAAAAACGGGUGGGCUAUAGCCUUGGGGGGUAGGGCUGGCCGACUUCGUCCGCCGAACUUGGAAUGGCGCGAGACUUUGCGACGCACCUCCGUGUGCCAAAAAUAGGCCACGGGCACAGCCGUGCCUAAACAUAACCGCCCGAAGGCCGGGGCGCCAAGUUCGUCCAGCGGAAAAAGGCCACAAAAACGGGUGGGCUAUAGCCUUGGGGGGUGGGCUAUAGCCUUGGUGGGCGGGGUUGGCCAACUUCGUCCACCGGACUUGGAAUGGUGCGAGACUUUGCGAGGCACCUCCGUGUGCCUAAAAUAGGCCACGGGCACAGCCGCGCCCAAACAUAACCGCCCGAAGAUCAGGGCGCCAAGUUCGUGCAGCGGAAAAAGGCCACAAAAACGGGUGGGCUAUAGCCUUGGGGGGUGGGGCUGGCCAACUUCGUCCGCCGGACUCGGAAUGGUGCGAGACUUUGCGAGGGGCCUCCCUGUGCCAUAAAUAUGCCGUGCGCAAAACCUCGCCCAAAAAUAACCGCCCGAAAGCCGGGGCGCCAACUUCGUCCAGCGGAAAAAAGCCACAAAAACGGGUGGGCUAUAGCCUUGGGGGGUGGGGCUGGCCAACUUCGUUCGCCGGACUCGGAAUGCCUCGAGACUUUGCGAGGGGCCUCCCUGUGCCAAAAAUAGGCCGUGCGCAAAGCUGUGCCCAUAAAUAACCGCCCGAAGGCCGGGCCGCCAGGAUCGUCCAGCGGAAAAAGGCCACAAAAACGGGUGGGCUAUAGCCUUGGGGGGUGGGGCUGGCCAACUUCGUCCGCCGGACUCGGAAUGCCGAGAGACUUUGCGAGGGGCCUCCAUGUGCCAAAAAUAUGGCGCGGGCAAAGCCGCGCCCAAAAAUAACCGCCUGAAGGCCGGGGUGCCAAGUUCGUCCGGCGGAAAAAGGCCACAAAAACGGGUGGGCUAUAGCCUUGGGGGGUGGGGCUGGCCAACUUCGUCCGCCGGACUUGGAAUGGCUCGAGACUUUGCGAGGGGCCUCCGUGUGCCAAAAAUAGGCCACGGCCCAAGUCGCGCCCAAAAAUAACCGCCCGAAGGCCGGGGCGCCCAGUUCGUCCAGCAGAAAAAGGCCACAAAAAUGGGUGGGCUAUAGCCUUGGGGGGUGGGGCUGGCCAACUUCGUCCGCCGGACUCGGAAUGGCGCGAGACUUUGCAAGGCUCCUCCGUGUACCAAAAAUAGGCCAUGGGCACAGCCACGCCCAAAAAUAACCGCCGAAGGCCGGGGCGCCAAGAUCGUCCAGCAGAAAAAGGCUACAAAAACGGGUGGGCUAUAGCCUUGGGGGGUGGGGCUGGCCCACUUCGUCCGCCGGACUCGGAAUGGUGCGAGACUUUGCGAGGCACCUCCGUGUGCCAAAAAUAGGCUGCGGGGACAGCCGCGUCCAAAAAUAACAGCCCGAUGGCCGUGGCGCCAAGUUCGUCCAGCGGAAAAAGGCCACAAAAACGUGUGGUCUAUAGCCUUGGGGGGUGGGGCUGGCCAACUUCGUCCGCCGGGCUCGGAAUUGCGCGAGACUUUGUGAGGCGCCACCGUGUGCCAAAAAUAGGCUGCGGGCGCAGCCGCGACCAAAAAUAACUGCCCAAAAGCCGGGGGGCCAAGUUCGUCCAGCGCAAAAAGGCCACAAAAACGUGUGGGCUAUAGCCUUCGGGGGUGGGGCUUGCCAACUUCAUCCGCCGGACUCGGAAUGGCGCGAGACUAUGCGAGGCACCUCCGUGUGCCAAAAAUAGGCCACGGACACAGCCGUGCCCAAAAAUAACUGCCCGAAGGCCGGGGCGCCAAGUUCGUCCAGCGGAAAAACGCCACCAAAACGGGUGGGCUAUAGCCUUGGGGGGUGGGGCUGGCCAACUUAGUCCGCCGGACUCGGAAUGGUGCGAGACUUUCCGAGGCACCUCCGUGUGCCAAAAAUAGGCCACGGGCACAGCCGCUUCCAAAAAUAACCGCCUGAAGGCUGGGGCGCAAAGUCCGUCCCGCGGAAAAACGCCCCAAAAACGGGUGGGCUAUAGCCUUGGGGGGUGGGGCCGGCCAACAUGGUACGCCAGACUCGGAAUGGUGCGAGACUUUGCGAGGCUCCUCCGUGUGCCAAAAAUAGGCCACGGGCACAGCCGCGCCCAAAAAUAACCGCCCGAAGGCUUGGGCGCCAAGUUCGUCCAGCGGAAAAAGGCCACAAAAACGGGUGGGCUCUAGCCUUGGGGGGUGGGGCUGGCCAACUACGUCCACCGGACUCGGAAUGGCGGGAGACUUUGCGAGGCGCCUCCGUAUGCCAAAAAUAGGCAGCGGGCACAGCCGCGCCCAAACAUAACCACCUGAAGGCCGGGGUGCCAAGUUCGUCCAACGGAAAAAGGCCACAAAAACGGGUGGGCUCUAGCCUUGGGGGGUGGGGCUUGCCAACUUCGUCCGCCGAACUCGGAAUGGCGCGAGACAUUGCGAGGCCGCACCGUGUGCCAAAAAUAUGCAGCGGGCACAGCCGCGCCUAAACAUAACCGCCCGAAGGCCGGGGAGCCAAGUUCGUCCAGCGGAAAAAGGCCACAAAAACGGGUGGGCUAUAGCCUUGGGGGGUGGGGCUGGCCAACUUCGUCCGCCGAACUUGGAAUGGCGCGACACUUUGCGAGGCACCUCCGUGUGCCAAAAAUAGGCCGCGGGCACAGCCGCGCCUAAACAUAACCGCCCGAAGGCCGGGGCGCCUAUUUCGUCCAGCGGAAAAACGCCACAAAAACGGGUGGGCUAUAGCCUUGGGGGGUGGGCUAUAGCCUUGGUGGGCGGGACUGGCCAACUUCGUCCGCCGGACUCGGAAUGGCACGAGACUUUGCGAGGCGCCUCCGUGUGCCAAAAAUAGGCCAUGGGCACAGCCGCGCCCAAACAUAACCGCCCGAAGGCCGGGGCGCCAAGUUCGUCCAGCGGAAAAAGGCCACAAAAACGGGUGGGCUAUAGCCUUGGUGGGUGGGGCUGGCCAACUUCGUCCGCCGGACUCGGAAUUCCGCGAGACUUUGCGAGGCGCCUCCGUGUGCCAAAAAUAGGCCGCGGACACAGCCGCGUCCAAAAAUAACUGCCCGAAGGCCGGGGCGCCAAGUUCGUCCAGCGGAAAAAGGACACAAAAACGGGUGGGCUAUAGCCUUGGGGGGUGGGGCUGGCCAACUUCGUCCGCCGGACUCGGAAUGCCACAAGACUUUGCGAGGGGCCUCCGUGUGCCAAAAACAGGCCGCGGGCAAAACCGUGCCCAAAAAUAACCGCCCGAAGGCUGGGGCGCCACGUUCGUCCGGCGGAAAAAGGCCACAAAAACGGGUGGGCUAUAGCCUUGGGGGGUGGGGCUGGCCACCUUCGUCCGCCGGACUCGGAAUGCAUCGAGACUUUAUGAGGGGCCUCCGUGUUCCAAAAAUAGGCCGCGGGCAAAGCCACGCCCAAAAAUAACCGCCCGAAGGUCGGGGCGCCAAGUUCGUCCCGCGGAAAGAGGCCACAAAAACGGGUGGGCUAUAGCCUUAGGGGGUGGGGCUAGCCAACUUCGUCCGCCGGACUCGGAAUGCAUCGAGACUUUGAGAGGGGCCUCCCUGUGCCAAAAAUAGGCCGCGCGCAAAACCGCGCCCAAAAAUAACCGCCCGAAGGCCGGGGCGCCAAGUUCGUCCAGCUGAAAAAGGCCACAAAAACGGGUGGGCUAUAGCCUUGGGGGGUGGGGUUGGCCAACUUCGUCCGCCGGACUCGGAAUGCCGCAAGACUUUGCGAGGGGCCUCCGUGUGCCAAAAAUAGGCUGCGGGUAAAGCCGCGCCCAAAAAUAACUGCCCGAAGGCCGGGGCGCCAAGUUCGUCCAGCUGAAAAAGGCCACAAAAACGGGUGGGCUAUAGCCUUGGGGGGUGGGGCUCGCCAACUUCGUCCGCCGGACUCGGAAUGCAUCGAGACUUUGAGAGGGGCCUCCCUGUGCCAAAAAUAGGCCGCGAGCAAAGCCGCGCCCAAAAAUAACCGCCGGAAGGCCGGGGCGCCAAGUUCGUCCAGCGGAAAAAGGCCACAAAAACGGGUGGGCUAUAGCCUUGGGGGGUGGGGUUGGCCAACUUCGUCCGCCGGACUCGGAAUGCCGCAAGACUUUGCGAGGGGCCUCCGUGUGCCAAAAAUAGGCCGCGGGUAAAGCCGCACCCAAAAAUAACAGCCCGAAGGCCUGGGUGCCAAGUUCGUCCAACUGAAAAAGGCCACAAAAACGGGUGGGCUAUAGCCUUGGGGGGUGGGGCUGGCCAACUUCGUCCGCCGGACUCGGAAUGGCGCGAGACAUUGCGAGGGGCCUCCCUGUGCCAAAAAUAGGCCGCACGCAAAACCGCGCCCAAAAAUAACCGCCUGAAGGCCGGGGCGCCAAGUUCGUCCAGCGGAAAGAGGCCACAAAAACAGGUGGGCUAUAGCCUUGGGGGGUGGGGAUGGCCAACUUCGUCCGCCGGACUCGGAAUGCCGCGAGACUUUGCGAGGGGCCUCCAUAUGCCAAAAAUAGGCCGCGACCAAAGCCGCACCCAAAAAUAACCGUCCGAAGGCCGGGGCGCCAAGUUCGUCCGCCGGACUUGGAAUGGCGCGAGACUUUGCGAGGGUCCUCCGUGUGCCAAAAACAGGCCGCGGGCAAAGCUGCGCCCAAAAAUAACCACCCGAAGGCCGGGGCGCCAAGUUCGUCCAGCGGAAAGAGGCCACAAAAACGGGUGGGCUAUAGCCUUGGGGGGUGGGGCUGGCCAACUUCGUCCGCCGGACUCGGAAUGGCGCGAGACUUUGCGAGGGGCCUCCCUGUGCCAAAAAUAGGCCGCGCACAAAACCGCGCCCAAAAAUAACUGCCCGAAGGCCGGGGCGCCAAGUUCGUCCAGCGGAAAGAGGCCACAAAAACGGGUGGGCUAUAGCCUUGGGGGGUGGGGAUGGCCAACUUCGUCCGGCGGACUCGGAA
RNAcentral lists this long non-coding RNA (7071 nucleotides) under Citrus x clementina. RNAcentral describes it as "Citrus clementina (C. clementina) long non-coding RNA (CCLE_LNC004920)". Lineage: Eukaryota; Viridiplantae; Streptophyta; Magnoliopsida; Sapindales; Rutaceae. The record is from RNAcentral.